This 84-nucleotide transfer RNA is filed under the name Planctomycetia bacterium. RNAcentral describes it as "tRNA-Leu". It matches the Rfam family "tRNA". From Rfam's summary of the family: Transfer RNA (tRNA) molecules are approximately 80 nucleotides in length. Their secondary structure includes four short double-helical elements and three loops (D, anti-codon, and T loops). Further hydrogen bonds mediate the characteristic L-shaped molecular structure. tRNAs have two regions of fundamental functional importance: the anti-codon, which is responsible for specific mRNA codon recognition, and the 3' end, to which the tRNAs corresponding amino acid is attached (by aminoacyl-tRNA synthetases). tRNAs cope with the degeneracy of the genetic code in two manners: having more than one tRNA (with a specific anti-codon) for a particular amino acid; and 'wobble' base-pairing, i.e. permitting non-standard base-pairing at the 3rd anti-codon position. Lineage: Bacteria; Pseudomonadati; Planctomycetota; Planctomycetia. RNAcentral also lists the same sequence under 1 other name. The record is from RNAcentral.
GCCGGACUGGCGGAAUUGGCAGACGCGAUGGAUUCAAAAUCCAUUGCCCGCAAGGGCGUCUCGGUUCGAGUCCGAGGUUCGGUA